CGCCCACCGCGCGGAGGACAACUUUUAGCCGGCAGCCCAGACCAGCGCGGCACCUGUCUCCGGAGUCUCCACCGCUCCUCCCGAUUCAUCCCAGGGAAAUUCUCAAGAAUACGCUCUACAAAUCUACGUGCGCAUCAUUUUCACCUCGCGUCGCGCCCGGGAGGAAGGAACGAGGCAAGGAGCUAAAGCAGCGUGCGUUCAGCCCUGGGGCAUUUUAUUAAUGCUUUUACGAGUUAGAAGAGUUGGGAUAAUUUGCCAUCUGGAGUUUCUCUGCCUUGCUGAUCUGAGCUCAGACCUGCCAAUUUACCAGAGAUAAUUGAUAACACCCUGUAACAGCUGAGAGGAAAAUGGAAGAAACGGAGAUACUUUUAGUGAAGCAGAAUAAACCACUGAACAGGAAAAAUGAGGAAGCUGUGAGUACCAGUGGAAGGAACGAGCCAGGAAGAGGGACUGGAACCAUCUCAGAAGCCAUGCCCCUCAGGCUGGAACUUGCCCUGUCUCCUCGCAGAUGAGGUGCAGGUCUUCUGAACAAAUGCCUCCUGAGGAUUUCUGUGCCUGGAAAAUAUCUGUUAACAGACUGCUUUUACACCUACCUACCUGUAAGAAGAAUCAAGAUAAAGAAUUCAUGAAUGAUAAAAACACUUUGAAAAGACUGGUGGUUCCAUAAAAGCUGACUUUGUGCCUGGAACAUUGGAAGUGACCCGUCAGUGCUUACUGAAUGAAUAGGCAAAUGAACAAAACCUCCUGCAAUACAGCUUUCUUACCAUGCCUCAAGAGACUCUUCAGUCCAUCCUACUGUAGUUGCUUUUGAUUGGGUUCUCCCUGAGUACUGACCCUAGGCCCAGAUUCAGAGAUUUCUCCAAAAAAAGAGCUUCUUUCAAAGACAUCAUUCCUAUUGUCAACCCUGUUGGCAUAGACACAAAAUGUAAACGUUGGACAAAGGCAAUACUUGCUGUGACAAAGGCGAUAUUUGUUGUAACAAAACACAAAUGUCUGUCCAUCAGUGGGGAACGAGAAUGCUGGGAUUUGAAGAGGCCAAAAAAAUAAUACUGCUCUCUCUUUUGAGAAAGAGAGGGGAUUUUUUUUUUUUUUUUGAAAAGCCAUAAGCUUAGGACAGAUGAAAUUCAAAAUCCACACUAAACUUCACUGGAGAAUGUAAGCAAAAUAUGAGGCCACAGGUGAGCUUUCUAUUUCCUUCCUCCACUCUCCAAGAUGGCCCAUUGAUAUUUGGCUGUGUCCCCAAAUCUCAUCUUGAAUUGUAGUUCCUGUAAUCCCCAUGUGUCAUGGGAGGGAUCCAGUGGGAGGUAAUUGAAUCAUGGGAGCAGUUACUCCCUUGCUGUUCUGUGAUAGUGAAUGAGAUCUCAUGAGAUCUGAUGGUUUUAUAAGGGCCUUUUUCCCCUUUGCUUGGCACUUCUCCGUCCUGCCAUCAUGUGAAGAGGGAUGUGUUUGCUUCCCCUUCUGCCAUGAUUGUAAGUUUCCUGAGGCCUCCCCAACCAUGUGGAACUGUGAGUCAAUUAAACCUCUUUCUUUCAUAAGUUA
This is a long non-coding RNA of Homo sapiens (human), 1539 nucleotides long. Ensembl annotates it as long intergenic non-protein coding RNA, p53 induced transcript. Its record names the gene LINC-PINT. Lineage: Eukaryota; Metazoa; Chordata; Mammalia; Primates; Hominidae. The record is from Ensembl.